RNAcentral lists this ribosomal RNA (465 nucleotides) under Vreelandella stevensii. RNAcentral's name for it is "partial 16S ribosomal RNA". It matches the Rfam family "Bacterial small subunit ribosomal RNA", at positions 338 to 795 of the family's 1533-position model. Lineage: Bacteria; Pseudomonadati; Pseudomonadota; Gammaproteobacteria; Oceanospirillales; Halomonadaceae. The record is from RNAcentral.
CCUACGGGUGGCAGCAGUGGGGAAUAUUGGACAAUGGGGGCAACCCUGAUCCAGCCAUGCCGCGUGUGUGAAGAAGGCCCUCGGGUUGUAAAGCACUUUCAGUGAGGAAGAACGCCUGGUGGUUAAUACCCAUCAGGAAAGACAUCACUCACAGAAGAAGCACCGGCUAACUCCGUGCCAGCAGCCGCGGUAAUACGGAGGGUGCGAGUGUUAAUCGGAAUUACUGGGCGUAAAGCGCGCGUAGGAGGCUUGAUAAGCCGGUUGUGAAAGCCCCGGGCUCAACCUGGGAACGGCAUCCGGAACUGUCAAGCUAGAGUGCAGGAGAGGAAGGUAGAAUUCCCGGUGUAGCGGUGAAAUGCGUAGAGAUCGGGAGGAAUACCAGUGGCGAAGGCGGCCUUCUGGACUGACACUGACACUGAGGUGCGAAAGCGUGGGUAGCAAACAGGAUUAGAUACCCCUGUAGUC